CUUGAUCGAACCCAGCAGCAGCGGCUGCCCGUCGGCGCGGUCCUGGCCGUAUGUCGCCAGCAGCGCCUGCGCCUC
This 75-nucleotide antisense RNA is filed under the name Streptomyces sp. MJM1172. RNAcentral's name for it is "ASpks sRNA". It matches the Rfam family "ASpks TB sRNA". The record is from RNAcentral. Lineage: Bacteria; Bacillati; Actinomycetota; Actinomycetes; Kitasatosporales; Streptomycetaceae.